Molecule: long non-coding RNA, 820 nt
Organism: Beta vulgaris subsp. vulgaris (sugar beet)
Lineage: Eukaryota; Viridiplantae; Streptophyta; Magnoliopsida; Caryophyllales; Amaranthaceae
Exons: 2
Source: RefSeq, a predicted model, not a curated record
UGACCGUUAUUUAACAUUUAAUGCUCCUCAUAACCGCGUAACACUGUCAGAAACUUACACCGCCUCAUUUGAUAAAAGCACCCCUCAAUCCUCAUUGCAGAAAUUGCAGAGCGAAAUUCCAAACCCUAAUGAAAAAUUCCCCUCUUUCUUUCAGGGAAUUGGGCGAUAAUCCAAAUUCCACUUCUUCCUCAAACAUUAUGAUGGAAUGCGAAGUUUCGGAAUUCGAACUUCACCAUCUUUCGAUUUCUGGAUAUCAAUUUCCGUAAUUGAAAAUCUUCAAUUCAUAUGAGUGGUAAUUGAUUGCCGUCUUUUGAAUUAUCGCCUUCUGAAGAGCCAAUAAUGAAGAUCUCUUUGAAUUUGCUAUUUAGUUACAUUGAGGGAUUUUGCAGUUAUUGGAGUACGAAGAACGAAUGUCUAAGUUAGAAGGUUGUUUGAAGGCAUUGGUUCUUCGUAGGCAGACGUACGGUUUUUACGAUCAAUUCUUUGUACUCGUAUGGGUGCGCCUCCACUUCUGCGAGACAUGCGCCUCCUUACGCCUUCGCGCCUUAUCUAGGUUUCACAAUGUCCGAGGAAGAUGUAUUGUCAUCCGUGAGACCGUGAGUGGAUUUUUGACAUGAUAAAGAUGUUAUCCUCUAUAGGUCUUUCUCUCCACCGAUUAACUACAACUUUUUUAUUUUCCAUUUAGUUAUUGUUUUCUAAUCUAUGCUAAAUUUUUCUGCUUGUAUAGUAGUUGACAAAUGUGAUUUAAGCAUAUUAUUUGCCACGAAUCCUACUGUGUUACUUUCUCCUAAAAAGUAUUACUUGUGUGUGGAUUUAGUAA